AGUGCAGCCCCAAAGGGGAAGGUUUCUCAGCCAGCUGUCCUCCUGUGGAGCAGCAGCCAGUCCCCACAGGGCCCCUACACCAGAGCUCUUGGCUUUUUCCCUGCCAGCUCUUUUCCCACCUACCACUUCCUAGCACACAUCAUACUGCAGUGCCACACCAACCACUUGGCGAAAGAACCCGCUGGUGAGGACUGGGCAAAAAUCUCCCUAAAAAGAACUUGA
This 222-nucleotide long non-coding RNA is filed under the name Cyanistes caeruleus (blue tit). Its description in RNAcentral is "lncRNA (ENSCCEG00000014363.1)". The record is from RNAcentral. Lineage: Eukaryota; Metazoa; Chordata; Aves; Passeriformes; Paridae.